CUACGUGCCAGCAGCCGCGGUAAUACGGGGGGUGCGAGCGUUAAUCGGAAUAACUGGGCGUAAAGGGCACGCAGGCGGUGACUUAAGUGAGAUGUGAAAGCCCCGGGCUUAACCUGGGAAUUGCAUUUCAUACUGGGUCGCUAGAGUACUUUAGGGAGGGGUAGAAUUCCACGUGUAGCGGUGAAAUGCGUAGAGAUGUGGAGGAAUACCGAAGGCGAAGGCAGCCCCUUGGGAAUGUACUGACGCUCAUGUGCGAAAGCGUGGGGAGCAAACWGGAUUAGAUACCCUGGUAGUCCACGCUGUAAACGAUGUCGAUUUGGGGGUUGGGCUUUAAGCUUGGCGCCCGUAGCUAACGUGAUAAAUCGACCGCCUGGGGAGUACGGCCGCAAGGUUAAAACUCAAAUGAAUUGACGGGGGCCCGCACAAGCGGUGGAGCAUGUGGUUUAAUUCGAUGCAACGCGAAGAACCUUACCUACUCUUGACAUCCAGA
Molecule: ribosomal RNA, 490 nt
Filed under: uncultured bacterium
Lineage: Bacteria
Description: bacterial SSU rRNA
Rfam family: Bacterial small subunit ribosomal RNA
Source: RNAcentral